RNAcentral lists this ribosomal RNA (505 nucleotides) under uncultured bacterium. Its description in RNAcentral is "bacterial SSU rRNA". It matches the Rfam family "Bacterial small subunit ribosomal RNA", at positions 30 to 524 of the family's 1533-position model. The record is from RNAcentral.
AUUGAACGCUGGCGGCAGGCCUAACACAUGCAAGUCGAGCGGCAGCACGGGUACUUGUACCUGGUGGCGAGCGGCGGACGGGUGAGUAAUGCCUAGGAAUCUGCCUAGUAGUGGGGGAUAACGUUCGGAAACGGACGCUAAUACCGCAUACGUCCUACGGGAGAAAGUGGGGGAUCUUCGGACCUCACGCUAUUAGAUGAGCCUAGGUCGGAUUAGCUAGUUGGUAGGGUAAAGGCCUACCAAGGCUACGAUCCGUAACUGGUCUGAGAGGAUGAUCAGUCACACUGGAACUGAGACACGGUCCAGACUCCUACGGGAGGCAGCAGUGGGGAAUAUUGGACAAUGGGCGAAAGCCUGAUCCAGCCAUGCCGCGUGUGUGAAGAAGGCCUGCGGGUUGUAAAGCCCUUUCAGUGGGGAAGAAAGCCUCGACCUAACACGUCGGGGUCUUGACGUAACCCAUAGAAGAAGCACCGGCUAACUCUGUGCCAGCAGCAGCCGCCGUAAU